RNAcentral lists this ribosomal RNA (484 nucleotides) under uncultured bacterium. Its description in RNAcentral is "partial 16S ribosomal RNA". It matches the Rfam family "Bacterial small subunit ribosomal RNA", at positions 30 to 507 of the family's 1533-position model. The record is from RNAcentral.
AUUGAACGCUGGCGGCAGGCCUAACACAUGCAAGUCGAGCGGAUGAAGGGAGCUUGCUCCUGGAUUCAGCGGCGGACGGGUGAGUAAUGCCUAGGAAUCUGCCUGGUAGUGGGGGAUAGCGUCCGGACACGGGCGCUAAUACCGCAUACGUCCUGAGGGAGAAAGUGGGGGAUCUUCGGACCUCACGCUAUCAGAUGAGCCUAGGUCGGAUUAGCUAGUUGGUGGGGUAAAGGCCUACCAAGGCGACGAUCCGUAACUGGUCUGAGAGGAUGAUCAGUCACACUGGAACUGAGACACGGUCCAGACUCCUACGGGAGGCAGCAGUGGGGAAUAUUGGACAAUGGGCGAAAGCCUGAUCCAGCCAUGCCGCGUGUGUGAAGAAGGUCUUCGGAUUGUAAAGCACUUUAAGUUGGGAGGAAGGGCAGUAAGUUAAUACCUUGCUGUUUUGACGUUACCAACAGAAUAAGCACCGGCUAACUUCGUG